AUGAACGCUGGCGGCGUGCCUAAUACCUGCAAGUCGAGCGAACAGAUGAGGAGCUUGCUCCUCUGACGUAGCGGCGGACGGGUGAGUAACACGUGGAUAACCUACCUAUAAGACUGGGAUAACUUCGGGAAACCGGAGCUAAUACCGGAUAAUAUAUUGAACCGCAUGGUUCAAUAGUGAAAGACGGUUUUGCUGUCACUUAUAGAUGGAUCCGCGCCGCAUUAGCUAGUUGGUAAGGUAACGGCUUACCAAGGCAACGAUGCGUAGCCGACCUGAGAGGGUGAUCGGCCACACUGGAACUGAGACACGGUCCAGACUCCUACGGGAGGCAGCAGUAGGGAAUCUUCCGCAAUGGGCGAAAGCCUGACGGAGCAACGCCGCGUGAGUGAUGAAGGUCUUCGGAUCGUAAAACUCUGUUAUUAGGGAAGAACAAAUGUGUAAGUAACUAUGCACGUCUUGACGGUACCUAAUCAGAAAGCCACGGCUAACUACGUG
This 495-nucleotide ribosomal RNA is filed under the name uncultured bacterium. Its description in RNAcentral is "partial 16S ribosomal RNA". It matches the Rfam family "Bacterial small subunit ribosomal RNA", at positions 29 to 507 of the family's 1533-position model. The record is from RNAcentral.